CCUGGCUCAGGAUGAACGCUAGCGGCAGGCUUAACACAUGCAAGUCGAACGGUAACAUUCCCGCUUGCGGGAGAUGACGAGUGGCGCACGGGUGCGUAACACGCGUAUGCAACCUACCUUCAACAAAGGGAUAGCCCAGAGAAAUUUGGAUUAAUACCUUAUAAUAUUGUCGAUUCGAUUGAAUUGAUUCUUAAAGAUUUAUCGGUUGAAGAUGGGCAUGCGUGACAUUAGCUAGAUGGUAAGGUAACGGCUUACCAUGGCAACGAUGUCUAGGGGUUCUGAGAGGAAGAUCCCCCACACUGGUACUGAGACACGGACCAGACUCCUACGGGAGGCAGCAGUGAGGAAUAUUGGUCAAUGGACGAAAGUCUGAACCAGCCAUGCCGCGUGAAGGAUGACUGCCCUAUGGGUUGUAAACUUCUUUUAUAGAGGAAGAAACCUUUCUACGUGUAGAAAGCUGACGGUACUCUACGAAUAAGGACCGGCUAACUCCGUGCCAGCAGCCGCGGUAAUACGGAGGGUCCAAGCGUUAUCCGGAUUCAUUGGGUUUAAAGGGUGCGUAGGCGGAAUAUUAAGUCAGUGGUGAAAUCCUAUAGCUCAACUAUAGAACUGCCAUUGAUACUGAUAUUCUUGAGUCUAGAUGAAGUGGGCGGAAUACAACAUGUAGCGGUGAAAUGCAUAGAGAUGUUGUAGAACACCAAUUGCGAAGGCAGCUCACUAACCUAGUACUGACGCUGAUGCACGAAAGCGUGGGGAGCGAACAGGAUUAGAUACCCUGGUAGUCCACGCCGUAAACGAUGAUUACUCGGUGUUGGCGAUAUACAGUCAGUGACUGAGCGAAAGCAUUAAGUAAUCCACCUGGGGAGUACGAUCGCAAGAUUGAAACUCAAAGGAAUUGACGGGGGCCCGCACAAGCGGUGGAGCAUGUGGUUUAAUUCGAUGAUACGCGAGGAACCUUACCUGGGCUUAAAUGUAGAUUGACAGGACUAGAGAUAGUUUUUUCUUCGGACAAUUUACAAGGUGCUGCAUGGUUGUCGUCAGCUCGUGCCGUGAGGUGUCGGGUUAAGUCCUGCAACGAGCGCAACCCCUAUCAUUAGUUGCCAGCGUUUAAAGACGGGGACUCUAAUGAGACUGCCCGCGCAAGCGGUGAGGAAGGUGGGGACGACGUCAAAUCAUCACGGCCCUUACGUCUUGGGCUACACACGUGCUACAAUGGUAGGUACAGAGGGCAGCUACCUGGCGACAGGAUGCGAAUCUCAAAAACCUAUCUCAGUUCGGAUUGGAGUCUGCAACUCGACUCUAUGAAGCUGGAAUCGCUAGUAAUCGCAUAUCAGCCAUGAUGCGGUGAAUACGUUCCCGGGCCUUGUACACACCGCCCGUCAAGCCAUGGAAGCUGGGAGUACCUGAAGUUGGUGACCGUAAAAGGAGCUACCUAGGGUAAAACUGGUAACUGGGGCUAAGUCGUAACA
RNAcentral lists this ribosomal RNA (1469 nucleotides) under uncultured prokaryote. RNAcentral's name for it is "partial 16S ribosomal RNA". It matches the Rfam family "Bacterial small subunit ribosomal RNA". The record is from RNAcentral.